AAUCAACGCUGGCGGCGUGCCUAACACAUGCAAGUCGAACGAGAAAGUGGAGCAAUCCAUGAGUAAAGUGGCGACCGGGUGAGUAACACGUGACCAAUCUACCCUUGAGUGGGGGAUAACCUCGGGAAACCGGGGCUAAUACCGCAUAACAUCUUCGGAUCGGAAGAACUGGAGAUCAAAGGAGCAAUUCGCUUAAGGAGGAGGUCGCGGCUGAUUAGCUAGUUGGCGGGGAAUGGCCCACCAAGCUUAGAUCGGUAGCCGGCCUGAGAGGGCGCACGGCCACACUGGAACUGAAACACGGUCCAGACUCCUACGGGAGGGCAGCAGUGGGGAAUUUUGCGCAAUGGGGGAACCCUGACGCAGCAACGCCGCGUGGAGGAU
Molecule: ribosomal RNA, 381 nt
Filed under: uncultured bacterium
Lineage: Bacteria
Description: bacterial SSU rRNA
Rfam family: Bacterial small subunit ribosomal RNA
Source: RNAcentral